GUUCUCUUUGGAAACGUUAGCAAAGAAAGCUUAAACAAGACCGGGGCUUGGCUUGUGUUAGUUGUAGCCUACCUAACCUAUAACUCUAAUAGAAUAUAAAUAUAAUGUAAUAUAAUAUAAGUAGGCUUUCAUUCUAGAAGCGGUAGCUUUCAAGCCAGAAAAAAGGUCUCCUUCCUUUCUUAGCCAGGCCGACCGGGGAAGCGAGAAGGGUGAGCUUCACUAGCUUCUACCAAGGAGGCCGGAAGCG
Molecule: long non-coding RNA, 247 nt
Filed under: Amborella trichopoda
Lineage: Eukaryota; Viridiplantae; Streptophyta; Magnoliopsida; Amborellales; Amborellaceae
Description: long non-coding RNA (ATRI_LNC002612)
Source: RNAcentral